This 101-nucleotide small nuclear RNA is filed under the name Jaculus jaculus (lesser Egyptian jerboa). Lineage: Eukaryota; Metazoa; Chordata; Mammalia; Rodentia; Dipodidae. The record is from RNAcentral.
AUGCUCACUUCAGCACAAAUAUUAAAGUUGGAGCAAUACAGAGAUUAGCAUGACCCCUGAGCAAGGAUGACAUGCAAAUUCAUGAAAUACAAAAGACUAGG